GACGAACGCUGGCGGCGUGCCUAAUACAUGCAAGUUGAGCGCUGAAGGAUGGUACUUGUACCAACUGGAUGAGCAGCGAACGGGUGAGUAACGCGUGGGGAAUCUGCCUUUGAGCGGGGGACAACAUUUGGAAACGAAUGCUAAUACCGCAUAAAAACUUUAAACACAAGUUUUAAGUUUGAAAGAUGCAAUUGCAUCACUCAAAGAUGAUCCCGCGUUGUAUUAGCUAGUUGGUGAGGUAAAGGCUCACCAAGGCGAUGAUACAUAGCCGACCUGAGAGGGUGAUCGGCCACAUUGGGACUGAGACACGGCCCAAACUCCUACGGGAGGCAGCAGUAGGGAAUCUUCGGCAAUGGACGAAAGUCUGACCGAGCAACGCCGCGUGAGUGAAGAAGGUUUUCGGAUCGUAAAACUCUGUUGGUAGAGAAGAACGUUGGUGAGAGUGGAAAGCUCAUCAAGUGACGGUAACUACCCAGAAAGGGACGGCUAACUACGUG
This 497-nucleotide ribosomal RNA is filed under the name uncultured bacterium. RNAcentral describes it as "partial 16S ribosomal RNA". It matches the Rfam family "Bacterial small subunit ribosomal RNA", at positions 28 to 507 of the family's 1533-position model. The record is from RNAcentral.